RNA transcript from Stylophora pistillata, 1817 nucleotides. It is a transcript of the gene named ADP-ribosylation factor-like protein 5B, with no coding region annotated. NCBI's taxonomy places the organism in Eukaryota, Metazoa, Cnidaria, Anthozoa, Scleractinia, Pocilloporidae. The record is from RefSeq and is a predicted model, not a curated record.
UGGCCCGACUCAGAGAAGUGUCGAUUUCGGAAGUCAAGGUAGUACAAACAUCGGCUGAAGAGAUCUUUUGCCUAAAUCCUGGAUUUUGUCCCGAUUCCUUUAUAAUAACGUUACUUUCAUGGGCAUGAGAUGGGACUUUUGUUCGCCAAAUUGUUUAGUUGGUUCAGUAAUGAAGAACACAAGGUGAUUAUUGUGGGCUUGGAUAAUGCAGGAAAAACAACAAUUUUGUAUCAAUUUUUAAUGAGUGAAGUAGUUCAUACAUCACCAACAAUAGGCAGUAAUGUAGAAGAGGUUGUAUGGAAAAAUAUUCAUUUUUUGAUGUGGGACAUAGGAGGCCAAGAAUCACUAAGAUCAGCAUGGAACACAUAUUACACGAAUACAGAGUUUUUAAUUUUAGUUGUAGAUAGCACUGAUAGGGAAAGACUUGCUGUAUCAAAAGCAGAACUGUACAACAUGUUAAAUCAUGAGGAUUUGAGACAAGCUGGAGUUCUUAUAUUUGCCAACAAACAAGACAUAAAGGGAUCUAUGAGUGUUGCAGAAAUAUCAGAACAAUUAAAUCUUACUUCAAUUAAGGACCAUGGAUGGCAUAUACAGGCAUGUUGUGCCCUUACUGGGGAAGGAUUGUACCAGGGGCUUGAAUGGAUCACCAAUCAUAUUAGGAAGUAGACUUGUAUUCUAUAUUUAAUGCAAAUAAUCCAAUUUAUUUUAUAUAAAAAGCAGUUAAAUUUUUUACUGAAAUGACUGUACAGUAACAAAGCUCUCAUUUAUUUCUCUGUGUACAUUAGUCACUGUAUUGUUUCUUUUCCUUGUGGGAGUGAUACCUUGUUAGUUCUACCAAAUAUUUAUGCACUAUGACUGGGUCAAUUUUGUCUUCUUCCUGUGAGAAGGCUAUCCGUUGGGGGCGUAGCAAUUGUUUUCACCAUGGGCCAUGUUUGAUUUAUUCCAUUGCUAGCCAGGAAAAUCGGUUUGAUCAUAUGAAGUUGAAGCUUUCUGGUAAAAUCCCUGGAAAAAAUAAUUAAAAAGUGAAAUGACAAACUCCUAUUUGAAGAGCUCUUUGUACAAAGUUCCAUCACAUAAAAACAUAUAUAUUGCAUGAAAAGAGAGUAUUUCUGAUAGACAUUAUUGAAGAUAGGCCACACAAAAUGAUUCAGAGAAAUUAAGUAAAUCUUUUUUUUUAUUUAUUGUAAGAAGGGAGUUUACCAAUAGCAAUCAGCAAAAUACUCAACUCAAAUUUCCAGGCUUGUGUCCAAACUCUUUGAAUGUGAGCCAUCAUUGUCUGUUUGUUAAUUACACUUUGCAGUAUCAAAAGGUAUUUGCUUACAGCAGCUUAAAUCAAAUAGGACUUAAUUCAGUCAGCUAUCAAACUCCUGUAAAUAUGAUUUAGGUGCUUUUUGAAAUAAUUGAUAGGUGUAGUUUUAUUUUGUCUUAGUAUGACAUUGAAUUAACUCCUUAGACUUCUAGUAACUGCUGUAAUAUUAUUAGGCUCAAAAUUGUAACUGAUGAGAAUUUUUUAAAAUGAUACCUUGAGAAUGCAGAAGGCAAAAGUACUUUGCAAUGGGCAGAACUUUGAAAUGUGGACCAGAAGCAAAUUGAUUUGAUACACCAGAGAACAAGAUAUAAACCCGUAGUCAGCGCACAACCGCGGGCCUGAAAAUCGCGUUUGAAUUAAGUCAGAUGUCUUUUCUCUUUCCUUUGAGUAGCUUUUUAUCCAGAAUCCUAAGUAACGAGCAAGAAAUUGUGUAGCGCAGUGUUUUCCCUUUCGGUAAGGAAUGUUUCAGUUGACAAACGUUUGAAAAUUAAAUGUUUUAAAAUGAGAA